This 2784-nucleotide long non-coding RNA is filed under the name Canis lupus familiaris (dog). RNAcentral describes it as "lncRNA (ENSCAFG00000050768.1)". Lineage: Eukaryota; Metazoa; Chordata; Mammalia; Carnivora; Canidae. The record is from RNAcentral.
UCAAUCCUUCCUUGGCACGAUGUCACCCCUAAACAGAAUCAGUAAUAUUACUGGUUUUUUUCUUUGACUAUUUGAAUCAUCCAUUUUUUUAAGACAUUGAGUUUUUCAUUGCCAGGGAUGUAGGUGGCAUAUACUUUGUAAAUUUACAGUGGUCCUGUUUCAGAAACUGAUUCUAUGCUUCCAUCUCACAGGGAUGAACUCACAUUGAUCAUAUUCACAGAAAACAAUUUAUGGAGCAAUCAGUUAAGAGUGGAAAAAAUUGUUAUGAGAAACUCAUAGACAGUUGGGUUGAUGCCUUCUGUCUUCAUGGCUAAAUCCACAUGAGAAGAUAUUUUAAUGAGAAGUUCAUUUGGUAGGGGACAUCUGGGUGGCUCAGUGGUUGAGUGUCUGCCUUCAGCCAGGUCAUGGUCCUGGGGUUCUGGGAUCAAGUCCCGCAUUAGGCUCCCUGCAAGGAGCCUGCUUCUCCCUCUGGCUAUGUCUCUGCCUCUCUGUCUCUCAUGAAUAAAUAAAUAAAAUAUAUUUUUAAAAAGUUCAUUUGGUAGGAAUGGAAUUAGAGGAAAGAGAGGUAGGGAAAUAAAUUCUGUUUGAUUCUAUCAGGCAGUUGUUAAGUAUAUGGAUCUGGCUCUGCAACAUGGGUAUGUUGCUCUUGGAAACAGACAGGUUCACCAUUUGGACCAGGGAUCUUCUUUCCUAAAUGGUAUUUAGAUAUGUGUUCUUAAGAGUUACUUUUGGGUAUUUUCUCAGUGGUUCCAUCGCUGACUGGUUUGCCCUUUAAUUGAUCACCAUACCUUAAAGUGAAAUCUUGCUGACAUUGAAGCCAUUUUAAUGUUUUAAAGUGACUUUACAUGUCUUCGUUGCAAAGGCAUUUCCUUUAUUGCCAAGUUCAGAGAUAGGGAAGACACAUUAAUAUUUUCAUUUUGUAUUACCUAGAUAGCUGGACUGACCAACAUGGUAGCCACAAGCCACAUGUGGCUGUUUAAAAUUAAAUUAAUUAAAAUAAAAUAAAAUAAAACAUUUCAUUCCUCAGUCACACUAAUCACGUUUCACGUAUUCAGUAGCUAUCUGUGACUGCUGGUUGCUGUAUUGAACAGUACAGAAUGUUGAACCUUUUUUUUUCAUUGGAGAAAGUUCUGUUGAGCAAUACUGGAGAGAGAUGUUUAACUGGCAAAGUAUUUUCCAGUUAUUUUUUUUAAUAUACUAUGGGAUCAAAUAUUUUCAUAUGUCUUCACUGUGAUAUAUUUAUUUUAAGUAAUAGCCCAACUUACGAUUCUAAUCCUCUCCAGUCAUAUAUACAUACAUGAUCAGCUGGUCAGGGAUUUUGUUUUUAAAAUACUAGUUGUUUAAUUAGCACUUAUGCAUUUUACUUACAACAUUUUACUUACAACAAGGUUCUCUUAUAAUGGUAGACUUCUUGCUUUUUCCAACACUGUGGAAAUUAUUAUUAAUAAAUUAAUAAUAUUCCUUCAGAAAUGCUGACAUUGCCAGGAAAAUAAAUGCAACCUUAUAUGUAUAAAAGCUGUCCUUCAGAAAAUAGUAUACUGUUAUACUAGAAGUGCCUGAAAGUCCAUUCGUUUUCAGUCUGAAUAGGAUUUUAACUUGUGUGCUUUACUCUGCAUUUAACAACUGUUCCCAUGGGACUAUUAUAAAUUUUUUUAUCUGCUUUAACAUCUGUCACAUUUGAAAGAUUAUUUUCAAUAAGACAAGUCUUUCUUACAUGGUAGUUUAACUAGGUCAGUGAUUUUCUAACAUUUGAAUUUCAUUGAUCAGUAAAAUUUCAGAAGAAAUUUUGGGGAGCACCUAAUGAUUUUAGUUUUGCAUUUUGCUAAAUAAGAACUACCACUUCUUAUUGUCAUCAUUUUAUGAAAGAGUGGACAUUUAAACAUGAAACCCAAAAGGGUGGGUUUUAUCUUUCAUUUAUCAUUCAUUUAUCAUAUCAUUUAUCAACCUGAUGAUAGUUAUAUUACAUUCUUCUUCUUUUGCCCCAUUUAUUCCUUUAAAGUUUUGACUAGUCUCAAGCCAAAACUUCACUGUGGAAAUUAUCAAUCUUUGUUGGUUUUCUUCUUCAUUGAUCUUUUUUAUUUUUUACCACCUCUGUUUGGCAUUUUGAAUUAUAAUUUUGAUUUUUCAAAGACUGUUGCUAUUGAAGGAAAUUCUAUAAUAUUAUUAGACCAUGUGAUACAUGAUAGAGAUAUAUCAAAAGUUAUUUAACAGUUUUAACCGUGCCAUCUGUUAGCCAAAUACUCAUUUGUCUAAUUCAUAUUCUGAGUUAAGUUUGUCCGAGUUAUACUCCAUAAGAGCUCAGAAGAAAUAGGUAUCUAUCUCUUCCAGAAGGAAGAUGAAAACAAAGGAAUCAAGGCAAAAUGACUUAAGUAGGCCUGAGAAUCAGUUUCAAAGAAAAGACUCUUCGAGGAAUAUGGAUAAUAUACCUUACUUGUUAAGAGCUUGGAAUUUUAGGAAAAAAAUGUAGUUUGGAAAAAUAAUGUUUUUAAGGUAACAUUAAAUAUAUAUUUGUUAUAUAUAUUAUUAAUGUCUAAUAACUACUUGUAGACUUUUUAUGUGUUUUAUGUGAAAAAACUUCUAGUGUUUUUAUAUACACUCAUAUAUAUAUUUAUUCAUCCAUAUUCUUAUACACAAUUGUUCUUAUAUUAGGAAAGGUUAUUUUUUACUGAGUACUUUAAAGAUAGUGGGUUCAAUGUAGCUACUGGGAGGAGUACAAAGAUCCCCAGGCACAGCUUCUCCUCUCCUAGAUCAUAGCUAAGGUACUGGGAAUAGGGAGUAUCUCCC